CCAGGGGAAGGUUCGUCCGCCCUGGGUUAGUCGGGACCUAAGCUGAGGCCGAAAGGCGUAGGUGAUGGACAACAGGUUGAUAUUCCUGUACUACCGAUAACCGUUUGGGAGAUGGGAUGACACAGUAGGAUAAGCUAAGCACACUGUUGGUUAUGUGUGCCCAAGCAUUGAGGCAGUCAGAGUAGGUAAAUCCGCUUUGAUAAUGCUGGGAUGUGAUGGGGAGCGAAAUUUAGUA
Molecule: ribosomal RNA, 235 nt
Filed under: Clostridioides difficile
Lineage: Bacteria; Bacillati; Bacillota; Clostridia; Peptostreptococcales; Peptostreptococcaceae
Description: partial 23S ribosomal RNA
Rfam family: Bacterial large subunit ribosomal RNA
Source: RNAcentral